UGGGGAAUAUUGGACAAUGGGCGCAAGCCUGAUCCAGCGACGCCGCGUGUGUGAAGAAGGCCUGCGGGUUGUAAAGCACUUUCGAUGGGAACGAAAUGUGCCGGGUUAAUACCCCGGUAAGCUGACGUUACUCAAUGAAGAAGCACCGGCUAACUCUGUGCCAGCAGCCGCGGUAAUACAGAGGGUGCAAGCGUUGUUCGGAAUCAUUGGGCGUAAAGGGCAUGUAGGCGGUAUGUUAAGUCAUGUGUGAAAUCCCUCGGCUCAACCGGGGAACGACGCAUGAAACUGGCAAGCUAGAGUACCAAAGAGGGUGGUGGAAUUCCCGGUGUAGCAGUGAAAUGCGUAGAUAUCGGGAGGAACACCUGUGGCGAAGGCGGCCACCUGGUUGGAUACUGACGCUGAGACGCGAAAGCGUGGGGAGCAAACAGGAUUAGAUACCCGCGUAGUCCCUGAGCGGGCUGGCAAGGCGCAU
RNAcentral lists this ribosomal RNA (472 nucleotides) under uncultured bacterium. RNAcentral's name for it is "bacterial SSU rRNA". It matches the Rfam family "Bacterial small subunit ribosomal RNA", at positions 355 to 825 of the family's 1533-position model. The record is from RNAcentral.